Molecule: ribosomal RNA, 517 nt
Filed under: Escherichia coli
Lineage: Bacteria; Pseudomonadati; Pseudomonadota; Gammaproteobacteria; Enterobacterales; Enterobacteriaceae
Description: partial 23S ribosomal RNA
Rfam family: Bacterial large subunit ribosomal RNA
Source: RNAcentral
GAGUCUUAACUGGGCGUUAAGUUGCAGGGUAUAGACCCGAAACCCGGUGAUCUAGCCAUGGGCAGGUUGAAGGUUGGGUAACACUAACUGGAGGACCGAACCGACUAAUGUUGAAAAAUUAGCGGAUGACUUGUGGCUGGGGGUGAAAGGCCAAUCAAACCGGGAGAUAGCUGGUUCUCCCCGAAAGCUAUUUAGGUAGCGCCUCGUGAAUUCAUCUCCGGGGGUAGAGCACUGUUUCGGCAAGGGGGUCAUCCCGACUUACCAACCCGAUGCAAACUGCGAAUACCGGAGAAUGUUAUCACGGGAGACACACGGCGGGUGCUAACGUCCGUCGUGAAGAGGGAAACAACCCAGACCGCCAGCUAAGGUCCCAAAGUCAUGGUUAAGUGGGAAACGAUGUGGGAAGGCCCAGACAGCCAGGAUGUUGGCUUAGAAGCAGCCAUCAUUUAAAGAAAGCGUAAUAGCUCACUGGUCGAGUCGGCCUGCGCGGAAGAUGUAACGGGGCUAAACCAUGCAC